UGGGGAAUCUUGCGCAAUGGCCGAGAGGCUGACGCAGCGACGCCGCGUGUGGGAGGAAGCCCUUCGGGGUGUAAACCACUGUCAGGGGGGAAGAAUCCCGGUCGUGGAAAUACCACGGUCGGCUGACGGUACCCUUAGAGGAAGCGCCGGCUAACGCCGUG
RNAcentral lists this ribosomal RNA (161 nucleotides) under uncultured bacterium. Its description in RNAcentral is "partial 16S ribosomal RNA". It matches the Rfam family "Bacterial small subunit ribosomal RNA", at positions 355 to 507 of the family's 1533-position model. The record is from RNAcentral.